RNAcentral lists this long non-coding RNA (223 nucleotides) under Vigna radiata. RNAcentral's name for it is "long non-coding RNA (VRAD_LNC006017)". The record is from RNAcentral. Lineage: Eukaryota; Viridiplantae; Streptophyta; Magnoliopsida; Fabales; Fabaceae.
GUUGCUGCUGUUCUGUGUGAGGAUUUCUGAGUGUUUGAGGAAGAAGACGCCAGGCAUAAACGAACGUCGCACAUCCGUUUGGACCUGAAACAGAUGUGGAUAUCUGUUUCACUUUAAACGGAUGUUGACAUCCGUUGAAGGAUAAUCAAAUCCAUUUAAGGUUUACGGUAUUUUUAACAGUGACGUACCUUUCUGCUGCUUGCUUUCUCCCCUUCAAAACACG